UACGUAGGGUGCGAGCGUUGUCCGGAAUUAUUGGGCGUAAAGGGCUCGUAGGCGGUCUGUCACGUCGGGAGUGAAAACUCAGGGCUUAACCCUGAGCCUGCUUCCGAUACGGGCAGACUAGAGGUAUGCAGGGGAGAACGGAAUUCCUGGCGUAGCGGUGAAAUGCGCAGAUAUCAGGAGGAACACCGGUGGCGAAGGCGGUUCUCUGGGCAUUACCUGACGCUGAGGAGCGAAAGUGUGGGGAGCGAACAGG
RNAcentral lists this ribosomal RNA (253 nucleotides) under uncultured bacterium. RNAcentral describes it as "partial 16S ribosomal RNA". It matches the Rfam family "Bacterial small subunit ribosomal RNA", at positions 524 to 776 of the family's 1533-position model. The record is from RNAcentral.